GUUGUAUGGUUAAGUGACUAAGCGUACACGGUGGAUGCCUUGGCAGUCAGAGGCGAUGAAAGACGUAGUAACUUGCGAUAAGCCCAGAUUAGGUAGUAACAACCAUUUGAGUCUGGGAUUUCUGAAUGGGGAAACCCACGUGCAUAAGCACGUAUCCUUACCUGAAUACAUAGGGUAAGGAGGCGAACCGGGGGAACUGAAACAUCUAAGUACCCCGAGGAAAAGAAAUCAACCGAGAUUCCGAAAGUAGCGGCGAGCGAAAUUGGACUAGCCCUUAAGCUUUACACGCGUUAGACGAACGGUCUGGAAAGUCCGACGAUACAGGGUGAUAGUCCCGUAGUUGACGACGUGUGUUCAGUGAAAUCGAGUAGGGCGGGACACGUGAUAUCCUGUCUGAAUAUGGGGGGACCAUCCUCCAAGGCUAAAUACUACUGACUGACCGAUAGUGAACCAGUACCGUGAGGGAAAGGCGAAAAGAACCCCUGUGAGGGGAGUGAAAUAGAACCUGAAACCGUGUACGUACAAGCAGUAGGAGCAGGCUUUGUCCUGUGACUGCGUACCUUUUGUAUAAUGGGUCAGCGACUUAUAUUCAGUGGCAAGGUUAACCAUCUAGGGGAGCCGUAGGGAAACCGAGUCUUAACUGGGCGUUCAGUCUCUGGAUAUAGACCCGAAACCAGGUGAUCUAGCCAUGGGCAGGUUGAAGGUUGAGUAACAUCAACUGGAGGACCGAACCGACUAAUGUUGAAAAAUUAGCGGAUGACUUGUGGCUAGGGGUGAAAGGCCAAUCAAACCUGGAGAUAGCUGGUUCUCCCCGAAAGCUAUUUAGGUAGCGCCUCGGACGAAUACUACUGGGGGUAGAGCACUGUUAAGGCUAGGGGGUCAUCCCGACUUACCAACCCUUUGCAAACUCCGAAUACCAGUAAGUACUAUCCGGGAGACACACGGCGGGUGCUAACGUCCGUCGUGGAGAGGGAAACAACCCAGACCGCCAGCUAAGGUCCCAAAUUACUACUAAGUGGGAAACGAUGUGGGAAGGCUCAGACAGCCAGGAUGUUGGCUUAGAAGCAGCCAUCAUUUAAAGAAAGCGUAAUAGCUCACUGGUCGAGUCGGCCUGCGCGGAAGAUGUAACGGGGCUAAGUAGUAAACCGAAGCUGCGGCAAUAUACUUUUGUAUAUUGGGUAGGGGAGCGUUCUGUAAGCGGUUGAAGGUGUGUGGUAACGCAUGCUGGACGUAUCAGAAGUGCGAAUGCUGACAUGAGUAACGAUAAAGGGGGUGAAAAACCUCCUCGCCGGAAGACCAAGGGUUCCUGUCCAACGUUAAUCGGGGCAGGGUAAGUCGACCCCUAAGGCGAGGCCGAAAGGCGUAGUCGAUGGGAAACGGGUUAAUAUUCCCGUACUUCUUACAAUUGCGAUGGGGGGGACGGAGAAGGCUAGGUGGGCCUGGCGACGGUUGUCCAGGUUCAAGUGCGUAGGCUUGAGAGUUAGGUAAAUCCGGCUCUCUUUAAGGCUGAGACACGACGUCGAGCAUCUACGGAUGUGAAGUCAUUGAUGCCAUGCUUCCAGGAAAAGCCUCUAAGCUUCAGAUUGUAAGGAAUCGUACCCCAAACCGACACAGGUGGUCGGGUAGAGAAUACCAAGGCGCUUGAGAGAACUCGGGUGAAGGAACUAGGCAAAAUGGUACCGUAACUUCGGGAGAAGGUACGCUCUCGACGGUGAAGUCCCUUGCGGAUGGAGCUAUUGAGAGUCGCAGAUACCAGGUGGCUGCAACUGUUUAUUAAAAACACAGCACUGUGCAAAAUCGUAAGAUGACGUAUACGGUGUGACGCCUGCCCGGUGCCGGAAGGUUAAUUGAUGGGGUUAGACUUCGGUCGAAGCUCUUGAUCGAAGCCCCGGUAAACGGCGGCCGUAACUAUAACGGUCCUAAGGUAGCGAAAUUCCUUGUCGGGUAAGUUCCGACCUGCACGAAUGGCGUAAUGAUGGCCACGCUGUCUCCACCCGAGACUCAGUGAAAUUGAAAUCGCUGUGAAGAUGCAGUGUACCCGCGGCUAGACGGAAAGACCCCGUGAACCUUUACUACAGCUUGGCACUGAACAUUGACCCUACAUGUGUAGGAUAGGUGGGAGGCUUUGAAGCACGUACGCCAGUAUGUGUGGAGCCGUCCUUGAAAUACCACCCUUGUAGUGUUGAUGUUCUAACGUCGACCCCUAAUCGGGGUUGCGGACAGUGCCUGGUGGGUAGUUUGACUGGGGCGGUCUCCUCCCAAAGAGUAACGGAGGAGCACGAAGGUGGGCUAAUCACGGUUGGACAUCGUGAGGUUAGUGCAAUGGCAUAAGCCCGCUUGACUGCGAGAAUGACAAUUCGAGCAGGUGCGAAAGCAGGUCAUAGUGAUCCGGUGGUUCUGAAUGGAAGGGCCAUCGCUCAACGGAUAAAAGGUACUCCGGGGAUAACAGGCUGAUACCGCCCAAGAGUUCAUAUCGACGGCGGUGUUUGGCACCUCGAUGUCGGCUCAUCACAUCCUGGGGCUGAAGUCGGUCCCAAGGGUAUGGCUGUUCGCCAUUUAAAGUGGUACGCGAGCUGGGUUUAGAACGUCGUGAGACAGUUCGGUCCCUAUCUGCCGUGGGCGUUGGAAGAUUGAAGGGGGCUGCUCCUAGUACGAGAGGACCGGAGUGGACGAACCUCUGGUGUUCGGGUUGUGUCGCCAGACGCAUUGCCCGGUAGCUAAGUUCGGAAUCGAUAACCGCUGAAAGCAUCUAAGCGGGAAGCGAGCCCUGAGAUGAGUCUUCCCUGAUACUUUAAGUAUCCUAAAGGGUUGUCGGAGACUACGACGUUGAUAGGUCAGGUGUGUAAGUGCUGUGAGGCAUUGAGCUAACUGAUACUAAUUGCCCGUGAGGCUUAACCAUACAACACCCAAGGGGUUU
RNAcentral lists this ribosomal RNA (2917 nucleotides) under Vibrio parahaemolyticus. RNAcentral describes it as "bacterial LSU rRNA". It matches the Rfam family "Bacterial large subunit ribosomal RNA". The record is from RNAcentral. Lineage: Bacteria; Pseudomonadati; Pseudomonadota; Gammaproteobacteria; Vibrionales; Vibrionaceae.